Molecule: long non-coding RNA, 1913 nt
Organism: Mustela lutreola (European mink)
Lineage: Eukaryota; Metazoa; Chordata; Mammalia; Carnivora; Mustelidae
Exons: 3
Source: RefSeq, a predicted model, not a curated record
UCGGCAACAAGUGGCGCAGAGGUCCAGGUUCGAACCUGCAAUAAACGACCCUUGCUGCUUGGCUUUGACUCACAUCUCUGGUGGACUUUUAAGGGAGGGUCCCUGGCUCUAUUUAGAGCUUAAGGUCUGUGGCCCUGUAAAGGUCAAGAACCACUGCCGACAGAAGCAGCAGGCAGGGGCGGUGGGAGGAGUGAGGUACUGGCACAUCAUGCAAACACUCAAGGUGACCGAUGGAGAGGACCUCGUGCCGUGGAGCCGGAGCGGCCCUGUGCUGGGAGAUUCUUGCAGAAGAGAGAAGUCCCUCCUCAGAGUCCUUACCACAGGGCACCCUCUAGAGAGUCCAGAAGAGUUCGGCUACAGGGGCCAGGAUCUCCCACUGGACCCAAGAUUCGAGGGAAAUCAUGCAUCAAAAAAUAAGUUGAAGAGCAUGGCCAUCUUUCCAGCACUGGAUCAACCUUCUCUCUCUCUCUCUCUCUGGUAAUUUUCAAUUCUCUGCAGAGCUGCCCAAGAAAAGUCUUUGUUGUUGGCCCCAUCUCUCCAUCCCUUCUUACGUUCAACAAGCUUGCUCCACAAGCCCAUUGCAUAUUGGUUCCCAAAGAGUCCCUCAGUUUCCAAAACCACCUCUCCCACAAACAGAAUUUCCAUUUACCUAAGCUCAGUAGUAAGGAAAGACCCCUCUUUACUCACACACAACAUGAAAACACUUAAGCUGAAAAAAAAAAAAAAAAAAGAGGCUAGAAGGAAAACCCAUAGAAACAGCCUCCGUAAAACAAUCCCUAUCUCCUACCCCAAGUGACUCUCCUGUUCCUUGGUAUCCUGGCACAUAGUCUUUACACAACCUUAACAUGGACUCACCUGAAAUGGUUUAAAUGUUCCAUAGAGUCUCCAUGGUCUUCUUUACUGUUCACAGGUGGUACCAGCAUCCAUCCAUCCAUCCAUCCAUCCAUCCAGUUAAUUCCACAAACAUUUUGCAGCAUCUAAAAUGUGCCUGCCCCUAGCGCAGGUGCUAGAGAGGGCAUGGGGAAAAGAGUGUGAACAAUGAAGGUCAAGUCUCUGCCCUCAGAGAGCUUACUUUCUAGCAUCAGAGGCAAAUUGCCCGGUGAAUAUGGAACUAUUGCUGGAUUAUGGGGGCAAGCAGAGGAAAAGAAAGAAAGAAACCAAGCAGAUUGUGCUUUAAGAAGGACAUCAACCAUCUCAAUAGAGGACAGAGGGAAAGUCCUUGAGUUAAGAUGCUCCUUUAAAAAAGGUCAGAGAAGGCAGGAGAGAUGGUGAGACCCAGGGAAGAGGGAGCUUUGCAAAGCCUUCCUUCUCCACCAGCUUUUGGAGGCAGCUCUUGCUUGCUGAAUGUUGGGUGCUUCCCAAGACUCUGGCUGAUGGGAGGAAUGACGGAUGACCCCUGAACAGGAAGUGUGGCUCACAAAUAUAUAUAUGUAUAUAUAUCUGAAAAUUUAGCCCAUAGUGUAUCUCUAACCCAUCCCUAUUUCUAAGUGGGUUAGUGUCCGAGAGAGAUCUCAAGCACAUGUCUUCAUUACUCAGAUGUAAAGAUCCUGCCACUCACUACGUUUAAGUUUCCAUGCAGGCUCUACUCCUCUCUGUUGCAUUUUCCACAAGCAGCUGGAGCCUGGGUCUUUCAGCAAGACAGCCCCUUACAGCUCACAUCAGGGCUUCUCCGAAGGUGGGGACCUGCUGCCUUAGAAAUACCUGUGGUGCUUGUUAAACAAGAUAGAUUCCUGGGCGCUGGUCCAGACUCAUGAAUCAGACCCUCCAGAGAGGGGAUCCAGAAAUCUGUUUCGCAAAGGUCCCCAGGUGUUCACAUAUGCUCUACAGUUUAAGAAUCCGCAGGAGUCAUCUGAAGUUAAUGAUGUACUAUAUGUUGGCUAAUUAAGUUACAAAAAUAAAUAAAUGAAAGAAUA